RNAcentral lists this ribosomal RNA (995 nucleotides) under Bacillus subtilis. RNAcentral's name for it is "partial 23S ribosomal RNA". It matches the Rfam family "Bacterial large subunit ribosomal RNA", at positions 322 to 1323 of the family's 2925-position model. Lineage: Bacteria; Bacillati; Bacillota; Bacilli; Caryophanales; Bacillaceae. The record is from RNAcentral. RNAcentral also lists the same sequence under 2 other names.
GAACGAGGUAGAUGAAGAGGUCUGGAAAGGCCCGCCAUAGGAGGUAACAGCCCUGUAGUCAAAACUUCGUUCUCUCCUGAGUGGAUCCUGAGUACGGCGGAACACGUGAAAUUCCGUCGGAAUCCGGGAGGACCAUCUCCCAAGGCUAAAUACUCCCUAGUGACCGAUAGUGAACCAGUACCGUGAGGGAAAGGUGAAAAGCACCCCGGAAGGGGAGUGAAAGAGAUCCUGAAACCGUGUGCCUACAAGUAGUCAGAGCCCGUUAACGGGUGAUGGCGUGCCUUUUGUAGAAUGAACCGGCGAGUUACGAUCCCGUGCAAGGUUAAGCAGAAGAUGCGGAGCCGCAGCGAAAGCGAGUCUGAAUAGGGCGCAUGAGUACGUGGUCGUAGACCCGAAACCAGGUGAUCUACCCAUGUCCAGGGUGAAGUUCAGGUAACACUGAAUGGAGGCCCGAACCCACGCACGUUGAAAAGUGCGGGGAUGAGGUGUGGGUAGGGGUGAAAUGCCAAUCGAACCUGGAGAUAGCUGGUUCUCUCCGAAAUAGCUUUAGGGCUAGCCUCAAGGUAAGAGUCUUGGAGGUAGAGCACUGAUUGGACUAGGGGCCCCUACCGGGUUACCGAAUUCAGUCAAACUCCGAAUGCCAAUGACUUAUCCUUGGGAGUCAGACUGCGAGUGAUAAGAUCCGUAGUCGAAAGGGAAACAGCCCAGACCGCCAGCUAAGGUCCCAAAGUAUACGUUAAGUGGAAAAGGAUGUGGAGUUGCUUAGACAACCAGGAUGUUGGCUUAGAAGCAGCCACCAUUUAAAGAGUGCGUAAUAGCUCACUGGUCGAGUGACUCUGCGCCGAAAAUGUACCGGGGCUAAACGUAUCACCGAAGCUGCGGACUGUUCUUCGAACAGUGGUAGGAGAGCGUUCUAAGGGCUGUGAAGCCAGACCGGAAGGACUGGUGGAGCGCUUAGAAGUGAGAAUGCCGGUAUGAGUAGCGAAAGAGGGGUG